Long non-coding RNA from Chelonoidis abingdonii (Abingdon island giant tortoise), 772 nucleotides. RefSeq lists it as uncharacterized. The record is from RefSeq and is a predicted model, not a curated record. Lineage: Eukaryota; Metazoa; Chordata; Testudines; Testudinidae.
CACCAACAGAAGUUGGUCCAAUGAAAGAUAUUAUCUCAUCCACUUUGUCCUCUCUCUGCGACUGAUAUGGCUACUACACUGCAUAUACCAGGCCCUUGUCCGGCCCAGGAGUAAAUAACGAGGAAUCAUCAAAGCAAGUGGGAACAGCUUGAAACUGAAAAGAAACCCCAGUCUUCAGAAACUAAGACAGGAGAGAGUUUUCUCCACUUUGAAUAUCUGUAAUAACUGAAGAAAAAAACUGCCACCCCUUUUAAAACGGAAGGAGUUUGUACUGAAGAUCAUCCAGAAUUUGAAGGACUGUCUUGAUCCCUCCUACAGGUGCCCGGUGUGCAAACUGUGUGGAGUGUGUAUGCCAUAGUGAGCUAACUGGAAGAAUGGUUUCAUGGCUUCAGGGGUUAUGAGCCAGAGGGGAACAGUCCAAGCACCUGGUAAUUCAGAACUCAGGGAGGAUUUAUUUGGAGAGACUUGGGACCGGAGGGCUGUUGUUAUCGUCUCUGCAAAGAAUAACUACACUGGUGAAAGCCAAGGGACUGGGAGUGGCUUGCUCACUACAGAAGCAGCUUUCCCUCUCCUGAAAUUGACACCUCCUCAUGUAUUAUUGGGAGUGGACUACAUCCGUCCUGACUGAAUUGGCUCUGUCAACACUGGUUCUCCACUUGCCAGGUACUCCCUUCUCUUCACGUCAUUACAUAAUGCCUACAUUUGUAACUUUCACUCCAUGCAUCUAAAGAAAUGAGGUUUUUUACCCAUGAAAGCUUAUGUCCAAAUAAAU